AUUGAACGCUGGCGGAAUGCUUUACACAUGCAAGUCGAGCGGCAGCGCGGGGGCAACCCUGGCGGCGAGCGGCGAACGGGUGAGUAACAUAUCGGAACGUACCCCGUCGUGGGGGAUAACACAGCGAAAGCUGUGCUAAUACCGCAUACGACCUGAGGGGUGAAAGCGGGGGAUCGCAGGACCUCGCGCGAUGGGAGCGGCCGAUAUCGGAUUAGCUUGUUGGUGAGGUAAAGGCUCACCAAGGCGACGAUCCGUAGCUGGUCUGAGAGGACGACCAGCCACACUGGAACUGAGACACGGUCCAGACUCCUACGGGAGGCAGCAGUGGGGAAUUUUGGACAAUGGGGGGCAACCCUGAUCCAGCCAUUCCGCGUGAGUGAAGAAGGCC
This 388-nucleotide ribosomal RNA is filed under the name uncultured bacterium. Its description in RNAcentral is "bacterial SSU rRNA". It matches the Rfam family "Bacterial small subunit ribosomal RNA", at positions 29 to 416 of the family's 1533-position model. The record is from RNAcentral.